UACGUAGGGUGCGAGCGUUGUCCGGAAUUACUGGGCGUAAGGAGCUCGUAGGUGGUUUGUCACGUCGUCUGUGAAAUUCCGGGGCUUAACCUCGGGCGUGCAGGCGAUACGGGCAAUACUUGAGUGCUGUAGGGGAGACUGGAAUUCCUGGUGUAGCGGUGAAAUGCGCAGAUAUCAGGAGGAACACCAAUGGCGAAGGCAGGUCUCUGGGCAGUUACUGACGCUGAGGAGCGAAAGCAUGGGUAGCGAACAGGAUUAGA
Molecule: ribosomal RNA, 260 nt
Filed under: uncultured prokaryote
Description: partial 16S ribosomal RNA
Rfam family: Bacterial small subunit ribosomal RNA
Source: RNAcentral